AGCGAACGCUGGCGGCAGGCUUAACACAUGCAAGUCGAACGGUAACAGGCCCUUCGGGUGCUGACGAGUGGCGGACGGGUGAGUAAUGCUUAGGAAUCUGCCUAGUAGUGGGGGAUAACCCGGGGAAACUCGGGCUAAUACCGCAUACGCCCUACGGGGGAAAGCGGGGACGUUUCGGCCGUCGCGCUAUUAGAUGAGCCUAAGUCCGAUUAGCUAGUUGGUAGGGUAAUGCCUACCAAGGCGACGAUCGGUAGCUGGUCUGAGAGGACGACCAGCCACACUGGGACUGAGACACGGCCCAGACUCCUACGGGAGGCAGCAGUGGGGAAUAUUGGAC
This 337-nucleotide ribosomal RNA is filed under the name uncultured bacterium. Its description in RNAcentral is "bacterial SSU rRNA". It matches the Rfam family "Bacterial small subunit ribosomal RNA", at positions 29 to 369 of the family's 1533-position model. The record is from RNAcentral.